GGGCGGUUAGCUCAGCUGGGAGAGCGCUUGGUUUACACCCAAGAGGUCGGCGGUUCGAUCCCGUCACCGCCCACCA
RNAcentral lists this transfer RNA (76 nucleotides) under Rhodospirillales bacterium. RNAcentral's name for it is "tRNA-Val". It matches the Rfam family "tRNA". Rfam says of the family: Transfer RNA (tRNA) molecules are approximately 80 nucleotides in length. The record is from RNAcentral. Lineage: Bacteria; Pseudomonadati; Pseudomonadota; Alphaproteobacteria; Rhodospirillales.